Molecule: long non-coding RNA, 121 nt
Organism: Argiope bruennichi
Lineage: Eukaryota; Metazoa; Arthropoda; Arachnida; Araneae; Araneidae
Exons: 7
Source: RefSeq, a predicted model, not a curated record
AUUCAGCCCUGAUGAUGGAUAUAAUAGUGAUGGUCAAAACAAUAAUGACGAUUUAAACAAUAAUGUCGUUUUGAACAAUGAGGAUGAUGGAAACGAUGAUGAUGGUGAUAAAAAUAAUGAU